ACGAACGCUGGCGGCAGGCCUAACACAUGCAAGUCGAACGCCCCGCAAGGGGAGUGGCAGACGGGUGAGUAACGCGUGGGAACAUGCCUUUUGGUUCGGAAUAGUCCCGGGAAACUGGGGUUAAUACCGGAUACGUCCUUCGGGAGUAAGAUUUAUCGCCGAGAGAUUGGCCCGCGUCUGAUUAGCUUGUUGGCGGGGUAAUGGCCCACCAAGGCGACGAUCAGUAGCUGGUCUGAGAGGAUGAUCAGCCACACUGGGACUGAGACACGGCCCAGACUCCUACGGGAGGCAGCAGUGGGGAAUAUUGGACAAUGGGCGCAAGCCUGAUCCAGCCAUGCCGCGUGAGUGAUGAAGGCCCUAGGGUUGUAAAGCUCUUUCGACGGGGACGAUAAUGACGGUACCCGUAGAAGAAGCCCCGGCUAACCUCGU
This 429-nucleotide ribosomal RNA is filed under the name uncultured bacterium. RNAcentral's name for it is "bacterial SSU rRNA". It matches the Rfam family "Bacterial small subunit ribosomal RNA", at positions 29 to 506 of the family's 1533-position model. The record is from RNAcentral.